This 206-nucleotide ribosomal RNA is filed under the name uncultured bacterium. RNAcentral describes it as "partial 16S ribosomal RNA". It matches the Rfam family "Bacterial small subunit ribosomal RNA", at positions 568 to 774 of the family's 1533-position model. The record is from RNAcentral.
CUCGUAGGCGGUUUGUCGCGUCGUCUGUGAAAUCCUGCAACUCAAUUGUAGGCGUGCAGGCGAUACGGGCAAACUUGAGUACUACAGGGGAGACUGGAAUUCCUGGUGUAGCGGUGAAAUGCGCAGAUAUCAGGAGGAACACCGGUGGCGAAGGCGGGUCUCUGGGUAGUAACUGACGCUGAGGAGCGAAAGCGUGGGAGCGAACA